UUAACGACUCUCGGCAACGGAUAUCUCGGCUCUCGCAUCGAUGAAGAACGUAGCGAACUGCGAUACUUGGUGUGAAUUGCAGAAUCCCGUGAACCAUCGAGUCUUUGAACGCAAGUUGCGCCCGAAACCUUUGGUCGAGGGCACGUUUGCCUGGGUGUCACA
RNAcentral lists this ribosomal RNA (162 nucleotides) under Eucalyptus clelandii. RNAcentral describes it as "5.8S ribosomal RNA". It matches the Rfam family "5.8S ribosomal RNA". From Rfam's summary of the family: 5.8S ribosomal RNA (5.8S rRNA) is a component of the large subunit of the eukaryotic ribosome. It is transcribed by RNA polymerase I as part of the 45S precursor that also contains 18S and 28S rRNA. Functionally, it is thought that 5.8S rRNA may be involved in ribosome translocation. The record is from RNAcentral. Lineage: Eukaryota; Viridiplantae; Streptophyta; Magnoliopsida; Myrtales; Myrtaceae.